RNAcentral lists this ribosomal RNA (205 nucleotides) under uncultured bacterium. RNAcentral's name for it is "partial 16S ribosomal RNA". It matches the Rfam family "Bacterial small subunit ribosomal RNA", at positions 524 to 728 of the family's 1533-position model. The record is from RNAcentral.
UACGUAGGGGGCAAGCGUUGUCCGGAUUUAUUGGGCGUAAAGAGCUCGUAGGCGGUUUGUCGCGUCUGCUGUGAAAACUGGAGGCUCAACCUCCAGCCUGCAGUGGGUACGGGCAGACUAGAGUGCGGUAGGGGAGAUUGGAAUUCCUGGUGUAGCGGUGGAAUGCGCAGAUAUGCGGAGGAACACCGAUGGCGAAGGCAGGUCC